Nematostella vectensis (starlet sea anemone) is the source of this 86-nucleotide non-coding RNA. The record is from Rfam. NCBI's taxonomy places the organism in Eukaryota, Metazoa, Cnidaria, Anthozoa, Actiniaria, Edwardsiidae.
CCUUCGAUAGCUCAGUUGCUAGAGCGGGGGACUGUAGAUUUAUAAUUGUGAUACCUAGGUCGCUGGUUCGAAUCCGGCUCGAAGAA